AUUUUGUAGAGCACAACUGAUUUCCAAAUUAGGAAUUCAGGGCCCACAUCCAUGUGAAGCAACUGAUUAUUCCUAUAGCACUUGCUUAUUGCUGCUUUAAAGAAAACCUAGAUUCUAGCCCUUAUUCUAAACUAACCUGCUGGACAAUCUUUGAUAUUUAUUCCUUGACAUAUGUUGAAAAUUGAAUAUGAGAGUUUAUCCUGGUGAGUCUGUGAAGAUAACUGUUGCCAUGAAAAC
RNAcentral lists this long non-coding RNA (237 nucleotides) under Homo sapiens (human). RNAcentral's name for it is "HSALNT0060667". The record is from RNAcentral. Lineage: Eukaryota; Metazoa; Chordata; Mammalia; Primates; Hominidae.